This 438-nucleotide ribosomal RNA is filed under the name Wolbachia endosymbiont of Glossina brevipalpis. Its description in RNAcentral is "bacterial SSU rRNA". It matches the Rfam family "Bacterial small subunit ribosomal RNA", at positions 992 to 1428 of the family's 1533-position model. The record is from RNAcentral. Lineage: Bacteria; Pseudomonadati; Pseudomonadota; Alphaproteobacteria; Rickettsiales; Anaplasmataceae.
UAUACCUAUUCGAAGGGAUAGGGUCGGUUCGGCCGGGUUUCACACAGGUGUUGCAUGGCUGUCGUCAGCUCGUGUCGUGAGAUGUUGGGUUAAGUCCCGCAACGAGCGCAACCCUCAUCCUUAGUUACCAUCAGGUAAUGCUGGGGACUUUAAGGAAACUGCCAGUGAUAAACUGGAGGAAGGUGGGGAUGAUGUCAAGUCAUCAUGGCCCUUAUGGAGUGGGCUACACACGUGCUACAAUGGUGGCUACAAUGGGCUGCAAAGUCGCGAGGCUAAGCUAAUCCCUUAAAAGCCAUCUCAGUUCGGAUUGUACUCUGCAACUCGAGUGCAUGAAGUUGGAAUCGCUAGUAAUCGUGGAUCAGCACGCCACGGUGAAUACGUUUUCGGGUCUUGUACACACUGCCCGUCACGCCAUGGGAAUUGGUUUCACUCGAAGCU